CCUCUAAGGGGUAUUGGAAUAAUUGUGCUUUCAUAUGGGGUUCUAAGAGUCGGAUCCUCCUCUGGGAAAAGAUAAUCUCUUUGACCCUUUUAUUCAAAAAACUUUCCCAGUGACAAAAACUUAAUGCAGGUUAUUGGACAAAUCUCUUUUCUGAGCCAUAUUUUCCUUGUUGGAUUCACCAAGAGGGUUGAACCAGAUGACCUGUGAAAUCUCUGUUAAGUCAGGAGGAGAAAGGAGAAAAGGACUAAAAGUGCCAAUGGGCAAGAAGGACAGAGGCAAAACUUGUCAGGGUUCCUCCCAUCAAGCCUGUGAUGUUUAUUUUUAAAGUCACCAUCUGGUGCUUACAUUUUCAGUUUUUGUUAUGUGAACAGGUGUGUAUAUGAGAGAGAAGGGGAGGGAGAGGACUGUGUCUCUGUCUCUUUACCUAGGAUUUAAGAAAGCCAAGGUCGUGGGCCAAGAGUCAGCUCUAGGAACCUCAGCAGAUGCUGUCCCUCAGUAUUGGAUACUUCCAGUUGUUAAAAGUGGAGUGCAGGCUUUGCCUUCUGGGGACAGGCCACAGCCCACGUCAUGCCUCUGCACUCCCAUUGCAUCUGCUGUCUGCUGUCCUGGGAAAUGAGAGCUCCGUUAAUAUUUCAGUGCCUCUGGCUGAGAUGAUAUAGCCAGGGUGUUGUGCUGUGAACCUGACCAGUUCACUCUCCAUCCUGCUGCUGCUGGCGCUGAGCUGGUUGAAGGAAACUAAGAGUGAGCUGGGAAUGGCCAGACCUGGGCUUCAGGGAUGGGAGGAAAAGGCAGAAUGAGGAGCGAGACCUACAAGCCACUGCAUCAGCUUUGGACUUGUCUAUCAUAGCUGCCUUCCCACUCCCCAGGCCCUCAUCCUCCUCUCUAGAAAGGGAGGAAGUAGCUCCUCUUGGAGGUGAGGCUGAGCUGGAGUGAGCCGCAGGUCAGACUAGGUUUCACUCUACUUGUAAAAUGUGAGCAGAAUUGUGGCCUGCCUCUCUCUCUUUGGGCCACAGUGACAGUCACCUGAAGGGAAGAGGAGGCCCAGAGAAUUUACAUUGUUGACAAAGUCACUCAAGUUACUCCAAAAGCCCUGUCUGGAAUGCAGCCCUUAAGAUCCAGCCAGUGCUCUUCCCACACCUUACCCAGAACAGAUUGAGUACACCAGACCAGCGUCCUGAAAUAUCCAUCUGAAAACAACAUAGUGAUUUUUGCACACACACUCACACGCAAUCUCGGUUAUGUCUUUGUUUAUACCCGUUAAUUUAAAGUGCUCGUAGUGACUCAUUCAUUCACCCAGUGUUUGUUAAAUACUUAUUGUGUGCCAGAUUCCAUAGCAGGUUGUAGGAAUACAAAGAUGUGCAAGGCAUGGUUCUUGCUCUUAAAUAACUCUCAGCCUGAUGGAGAAAACAUUUUUUUUUCAAGAAGUAGAUGAGUACAAAAUGCAAAUAAAGUCACCAUAUCCACCUCACCAUGUCUGUGAUGGAAUCGGAGAAGCAGGCAUCCAGCUCAGGAUAAGGGGCAAUAAAUGGCAGGAGGGGCAGGAGCUAGGUUUUCUGAAAGGAACUCUAGGCUGUUGUUAAAGAAU
This 1585-nucleotide long non-coding RNA is filed under the name Marmota monax (woodchuck). The record is from RNAcentral. Lineage: Eukaryota; Metazoa; Chordata; Mammalia; Rodentia; Sciuridae.